This 468-nucleotide ribosomal RNA is filed under the name uncultured bacterium. RNAcentral describes it as "partial 16S ribosomal RNA". It matches the Rfam family "Bacterial small subunit ribosomal RNA", at positions 28 to 507 of the family's 1533-position model. The record is from RNAcentral.
GACGAACGCUGGCGGCGUGCUUAACACAUGCAAGUCGAACGGAAAGGCCCUGCUUUUGUGGGGUGCUCGAGUGGCGAACGGGUGAGUAACACGUGAGUAACCUGCCCUUGACUUUGGGAUAACUUCAGGAAACUGGGGCUAAUACCGGAUAGGAGCUCCUGCUGCAUGGUGGGGGUUGGAAAGUUUCGGCGGUAGGGGAUGGACUCGCGGCUUAUCAGCUUGUUGGUGGGGUAGUGGCUUACCAAGGGUUUGACGGGUCGCCGGCCUGAGAGGGUGACCGGCGACAAUGGGACUGAGAUACGGCGCAGAGUGCUAUGGGAGGCAGCAGUGGGGAAUAUGGUACAAUGGGAGGAAGCCUGAUGCAGAAACGCCGCGUGCGGGAUGACGGUCUGCGGGUUGUAAACCGCUUUCGCCUGUGACGACGCGUGAGUGACGGUAAUGGGUAAAGAAGCACCGGCUAACUACGUG